RNAcentral lists this ribosomal RNA (468 nucleotides) under uncultured bacterium. RNAcentral's name for it is "bacterial SSU rRNA". It matches the Rfam family "Bacterial small subunit ribosomal RNA", at positions 959 to 1448 of the family's 1533-position model. The record is from RNAcentral.
ACGCGCAGAACCUUACCAACCCUUGACAUCCUGUGCUACUACCAGAGAUGGUACGUUCCCUUCGGGGACGCAGUGACAGGUGCUGCAUGGCUGUCGUCAGCUCGUGUCGUGAGAUGUUCGGUUAAGUCCGGCAACGAGCGCAACCCACAUCUUUAGUUGCCAUCAGGUUAAGCUGGGCACUCUAGAGAAACUGCCCGUGAUAAGCGGGAGGAAGGUGUGGAUGACGUCAAGUCCUCAUGGCCCUUACGGGUUGGGCUACACACGUGCUACAAUGGCAGUGACAAUGGGUUAAUCCCCAAAAGCUGUCUCAGUUCGGAUUGGGGUCUGCAACUCGACCCCAUGAAGUCGGAAUCGCUAGUAAUCGCGUAACAGCAUGACGCGGUGAAUACGUUCCCGGGCCUUGUACACACCGCCCGUCACACCAUGGGAGUUGGUUCUACCCGACGACGCUGCGCUAACCCUNNGGNG